GGAAGAAGAGGAAACGUGGUGAAGGUGAUUCAAAAUCAGCCGACAAGGAGCCUGAAGUCGGUCAGUGGAAAAGCUUCCAGCCUGACAAGGCUGCACUUGGUGGACCAUUGAAGCCCAAAAAGAAUAAGACUGGUUUCAGCGAUCCAGCUCCAGAGGUUCAGAGUGCACCCGUCCAGACCGGGAGAAUUGAAAUCAAAUCCGUCUCAGCCAUCAAUAAAAACACUGCUCGGGUUAAGGUGGAGGUGAAGAAGCAGCAGGAGUUCUAUGUGUCAACUCAAAAACUGGCAGAGCUCCUCGGUUAUAACAUGGAGGACGGGGUUGAAGGCAGAAUCAGUCGUGCCAUGCCAAUCUCAGCAGAGGCUAAAAUGCGAGAGGAUCAGAUUGUAGAGAUUAAAAAAGUAUUUUAAGAAGAACUCGUUUGUACAUUUUUCCUGUCUGAAACAAUAAAGCUCAGUUUUUCUGGUCAUGGUUUAAUUUGAAGGUUGGUUUGUGGGGUCAUUCUUCAGAGGCGCCAUCACCUGACCAACCACACGUAAGCUCAGGACAGAAACCGUGCGUCCUAGGGUCAGGGACCAAUAAAGAACGAGCUCUGUGGUGAGUUCAGGUUCCACGGAGGACGUCAGUCUGACGGGGACACUCGUGACGAGGACGAACAGGCUUAAUAUUCUCAGCGAGGUCACGUUGGAGCUCUGACAGGCAUUAAACCCACAGCUCUGGUUCUGCUGUGGCUUUAAUGUCUCACCUGUGCAGGUGAAACAGCUUCACUCAUGACCCAGUGUGUCUGCUGGGGUUUGUUUUUUUUAAGCUAGGUUUGUUACAACGUUUAUUCACAGCUACCUUUAGUUGAUCCCGAGUUCAAAAAACAAUGAAACAACCUGUUUAUUUCUACUUGACUUUAUUAAAAAUAUCAAACAUGAGGAAAACAAGCAGGCACACACACACACACACACUCUGCAGCAUCGCUGAGUGAACGACAGUUUCAGACAAACAGUCCAACCAAUCUCACUUUGAAAAACAAAAACCCCAAAACAACAUCGUUGGCGUUCAUCUACAACAGGAAAAAAAAAAAAAAAAAAAAAAAAAAAUGAGUAAGCAAAGAGUUUCACUUCCAAAGACUUUGCAUCCAAUCUGAUAAUAAUCGAGGGAUAAAAACGACCUGAUAUUCACGUUUGAUUUCCAAAAAUAUACAAUAUUUAUAUAAUUACAGUGAAAUCUCGGGCCGGCGGCUCGCUUUGGGAGGAAACUCUUUACUUUAAAACUGCGACACUAACGAUCUGAGUUACAUCCA
This is a long non-coding RNA of Oreochromis niloticus (Nile tilapia), 1288 nucleotides long. RefSeq lists it as uncharacterized. The transcript is spliced from 4 exons. The record is from RefSeq and is a predicted model, not a curated record. Lineage: Eukaryota; Metazoa; Chordata; Actinopteri; Cichliformes; Cichlidae.